CACGUAGUCCCUCCGUCCGAAAAUACUUGUCAUUAAAAUGGACAAAAAUGAAUGUAUCUAAAACUAAAAUACAUCUAGAUACAUUCAUUUUUAUUCAUUUUGAUGACAAGCAUUUCUGAAUGAAAGGAGUACAAA
This is a non-coding RNA of Triticum aestivum (bread wheat), 135 nucleotides long. The record is from Rfam. NCBI's taxonomy places the organism in Eukaryota, Viridiplantae, Streptophyta, Magnoliopsida, Poales, Poaceae.